Odocoileus virginianus texanus is the source of this 1010-nucleotide long non-coding RNA. RefSeq lists it as uncharacterized. Lineage: Eukaryota; Metazoa; Chordata; Mammalia; Artiodactyla; Cervidae. The record is from RefSeq and is a predicted model, not a curated record.
AGUUCCAGACUGAGGAGACACAGGAGGAGCCGUGGGAGGGGCUGGGCCCAAAGGAGCUCGGAGGCUGAGGAGACUGGCAGGGAGACUGGGAGCGUGGGCAGGAUCCGGUGUGGAAACCAAGCUGGAAGAGAAGGCUGGUGUCUCAUCAGGUCUGAACAGGACUGGGUUUGGAUUUGGGGAUUUUAAUCUGAGAGCAGUAACUCCCCUGUCAAAGUCCUGGAGCAGAGGGAUGACCCUGGCUGCUGGGUGGGAGGAAGACUCAGAAGGAAGCAGGAAUGCAAAACGAGUAUCUAUGAAAAAAGACCACAGCAAAAGUCUGGACAAUUUUCCAGUGAGAUCAGUCGAGUCUUAAUCUCCAUGACGCCAAGACUUGGCUACAAAGUGGAAACUUCGGUCAAUUCCCAGCUGUUCCAUCUCUGUGUGUCCCCCCGCAUCUAUGUGGCUGUUCAGGUUUCAGACUGUUUGGCUGGUGCCACGGAGACAACAUCAUAGUUGGCAGCUUUCCCCAAUGACACAAUUUUUUUUACCCUUCCUCAACUCCCUUCACUGGGGCAGCUAUAGCCUCAAGUUCUUUGUCAUCUCAUCUAGGCAGCGGUUGCUUAAAACACAAAUCAGCGACUUUAUGAUGAGCGAGAAUACGCAUCAUUCUUUUCUUCUCCUUGGAACACGCAUGAUAACUCCACAGAAAAGCUGAUGCAACAUGGCAGCCUUAAUUAUCCCAAAGGUCAUUCAUUGUCACAGCAACCUAAACACUUACACCAUUUCCAAAAUAAUCACACCAGAACUGACAGACAGUUUUGCAUUCAUUUGUAAUGUUAAGUGCUUAAUCAACAAGUUAAAUAUUCUUCAGGUUCACAAGAAGGAUGACAAUCCCUGAAUAGUUUUCUAUCACCUAAGUGGGGUUUGUCUGAUUAGGGCUGACAGAUGUAUAUAAGAAAACAAGCAGCUUUACCUACACCUUUUUUUUCCUUGUUGGGAAUAUGAUAAUGUAAUAAAAUUAGAUCUUAAGA